AGUGAACGCUGGCGGUAGGCCUAACACAUGCAAGUCGAACGGCAGCACAGUAAGAGCUUGCUCUUACGGGUGGCGAGUGGCGGACGGGUGAGGAAUACAUCGGAAUCUACUUUUUCGUGGGGGUUAAGGAAGGAAACGUUACCUAAUACCGGAUGCGACCUACGGGUGGAAGGAGGGGGACUUUGGACCCUGCUGGGGUUGAUUAGCCGAUGUCGGAUUAGCUAGUUGGCGGGGUAAAGGCCCAACAAGGCGACGAUCCGUAGCUGGUCUGAGAGGAUGAUCAGCCACACUGGAACUGAGACACGGUCCAGACUCCUACGGGAGGCAGCAGUGGGGAAUAUUGGACAAUGGGCGCAAGCCUGAUCCAGCCAUACCGCGUGGGUGAAGAAGGCCUUCGGGUUGUAAAGCCCUUUUGUUGGGAAAGAAAAGCAGCAGGUUAAUACCCCGCUGUUCUGACGGUACCCAAAGAAUAAGCACCGGCUAACUUCGUG
Molecule: ribosomal RNA, 491 nt
Filed under: uncultured bacterium
Lineage: Bacteria
Description: partial 16S ribosomal RNA
Rfam family: Bacterial small subunit ribosomal RNA
Source: RNAcentral